Molecule: long non-coding RNA, 462 nt
Organism: Mastomys coucha (southern multimammate mouse)
Lineage: Eukaryota; Metazoa; Chordata; Mammalia; Rodentia; Muridae
Exons: 4
Source: RefSeq, a predicted model, not a curated record
GGGUAAAGCUGACUCCCUUAAUCUGAGGAUCAGAGUGGAGCUGUCAGCUGGAGCAGUGAGAUGGCUACUCUUACACUGGACAUGCAGCCGAUGUCCUGGAGACAAGAUCCAUCUUCUGAAAUUCAGUCCUGGUCUGCUUGGUGGCAUACUGCUGGCAUCUAAGGGCUUCGUUACGGGUGGAUUCUAACCUGGUGUAUAAAUGAAAGAAGUCUGCUCUAGGAUGGCCUGGCAGUCCAGGAGCUGGCAAGCAAGUCCUCUCAUUUGUCUCCUCUCUGGUCAUCUGGGAUGAGCUGGCGAAGCUGCAGCAGACUCUAAAGCCAAAGUCAGAUGCAGGCUGAGACGUGGAGGAUGGAGAUCUUUAAAAGAUGUGUUCACAUGCCUGGCCCAACUACAAUCAGACCUGACCACAGUGUAACAGCCAUGGGAGCUUGCCACAGCCUUCGAUAAACAGUUCUGACAGUA